AAUCUGUUUAGAACUCUGGACUUGGUGGGAUAAACCUUCAUUUCUUUGCAGGGAAAGGUCCACGUCUGCAAAUGAUAAUGUACCUGGAUUGCCCAGAACUUCCAGGGAGGUGGUUCUGAUUCCCCGGGGCCUUGGGCCCCUUGGUGAAGCUAAUUCAAGCUACAGGCCGUCUCCCCAGGAAAGGACUCAGAGAUCCCCAGGUGCAAAGUCGGCGGAGUCCCAUGGGCCUGAGUCCCUCCUGGGCCCCGGCUUAAAGAGCCCCCUUCUGAGCCCGUGUUCCCCUGACUCGGCGCCAGCAUGGAUGGGGAAACGAGGAAGCCUUGCGUUUCAGUUUCAUAAAGUCGGCUUUGUCACUCUGUGUCUGUUCCCUAUAUGGUUAAAAUCUAUUUUAAGAUUAGAUCAUCUUUAAAUAGAUCUACUUUCUUAGUCUGCUUGGGCUACUGUAGCAAAAAUGCCACAGACUGGGCGGUUUAAACGGCAGAGAUUUAUUCCUCAAGUUCCGAAGGCUGGACGUCAAGGCGCAGCCGAUUUAGCUCCUGAUGAGGUUGUCUUGCCUUCUCUCUGUGUCUCCCCAAGAGACGGGAGGCAGGGAGGGGAGGGAGGGAGAGGAAGAGGCUCUGGGGUCCUUUGCUGCUUCUCUGGAGAACCCCAACUUGCAUGGAUGGCAAAGAGACAGGGGAAGCGCCCCCUCGGGUCUCCCAGCUGGAUUGCCUUCCCUCUGCGGGCGGGACGCCUUCAAUGCUGGAGACGCCUCGCUGGCGAUCCAUCCACCGGCUCUUGUCUGUUCUGAACGAGCUGCCACGAACAUGCACGGACAAGUCUCUGCGUGGACACGUGUUUCCAUUUCUCUGGUAAAGACCCAGGAGCCGGGUUGCUGGGUGGUAGAGCGCAGGCGUCUCUAUCGGGGACCACCGAGCUGUUUUCCUAAAGGGCUGCCCCUCGUGACCCCAUCGGCAAUGCCCCGCACCCAGGUGUUUGCAUCCCUGCGGUAUUUGGUUGUUGGUCUCUGAUUUUGGCCACAUUAGUGGGGGUGGGGGCGGGGUAAGGGGCUCUCAUGGUGGUGUUUUGUUUGUUUGUUUGUUUGCUGCACCUGCAGCAGUUGAAAUUUCCUGGGCCAGGGAUGGCACCCGCACCAUAGCAGCGACCCAAGCCGUGCAAUGAAAACGCCAGAUCCUUAACCCGCUGAGCAACAGGAAAAUCCCUUACGGUGGUUUUAACGUGCCUUUUCCUAAAGCCCAAUGAUACUGAGCAUCUUUUCAUUGGCUUGUUCCCUGCAUUUCUUUGCUGAGCGUCUGCUCAAGUCAUUUGCCCAUUAAAAUAAAAACAAAAAACAACAACA
This 1339-nucleotide long non-coding RNA is filed under the name Sus scrofa (pig). RNAcentral describes it as "lncRNA (ENSSSCG00070017789.1)". The record is from RNAcentral. Lineage: Eukaryota; Metazoa; Chordata; Mammalia; Artiodactyla; Suidae.